UUUUUCAGGAGCAGGAGUUUUCAUUAUUCUGAAUCCGAAUGAAUUUUCCUUAGGACCAACUGAACUCGCUGACAAGAGGCAGCUGUUGAGAUUGUGACUACGCACAAUUUUCAGGGAAGCUGGAUCGCACAACAGAGACAUGGCUCCUGGCCCGGUGAAGUGAGCCUGAUGAGAGCUAAGCAGGCACGAACAGGGAGGGCCGAGCUCAGGGCGCAGCCCACGCCUCCGUACCCAGCGUCUCCCGCACAGUCUGCUCCGAACUCCGCGCCCUCUCCUCACACAGAGCUCUCUGUGCCAGGCACCGAGUGCCCAGUCCCCGAAGGCUACGCCUCCUCCACGCCACCACACAAGGCCUGGGGUUCUUCCUCUUCAUUUCCUGUAGAAUUUGCAAACUUCUGUCCUUCCCAUGGGUGCUUCUCUGGGCCAUUUCUGGUCAUGUCUUGAACAUCUUGAGCAUUUCUGGAGAAGGCAAUUCAUGUCCAGUCUCCACAAUUUAAUGCUUGGACCUUGGGCAAAUUACUUCACCUCCCACUGCUUCAGUGUCCUCAACUGUAUAACGGGGUGAAAAAUACUAUUACAUGAAAUUAUUAGGAAGAUAAAAAGUUUGCUGUAGGUGCACAUAGCUCAAGUGUUUUAAAGAUGUUUCGUUACCCGUUAUUACCAUUAUCAGCAUCACAUCUGCCUCACGAGUGCUCCCAUUCCCAGUGAUUUGUUUCCAGGGUGGUGACUGGUGUGAGUCUGGCCUCGUCUCAAACAUCUUCAACCUCUGAUUAAGUAUGAUAUUUAGCAUGAACAGGGAUCCAGUACACAUUUUUGAAAUUUAAUGAUUAGCACCUGUUCCUUUGUUUUUCAUCAGCUUAUGCACUCCAUAAAGUAUGUUUUCAGCGUGACAGAAUCCUCAGGGAUGCCGGCCAGUACCUAAUGCACACUCAGCAGCCGCACGCUCAGACAUGUGUGCAGAAAUGAUGAGUUCAGUGCAGUGUGACGUACGCAAGGCAGACUGGCCGUGAGGGGAGACUGCUCCCUGUGUAGUGCCCACCGUCGGUGCUGUGCCCUGAUUCUUAGGAGCCUCUGCUCAAACUGAGACUUGAUGUUAAAGAUGUGGAAGUGGUCGCAGUACAAGACAGCUGUGAAGAGGAGAGCGGCCUCAGAUCUGGGCCCUGCUUACCCAGCACCUGUGCAGACCAGAGCUGCUCAAGGGCCCAUCUGGGACGCCGUGAGAAGCUUGUGCUGCAGGCCAGAUCAAUACUCUGCGGCUUUCAUGGAGCAAAUCUAGCUAUGAAAAAAGUAAGAGGCAGCUGAGCUAAGCAGCGAACUCACCGGUACAGUCACUGUUCUGUCACUGGGACGCAUCUGAUGCCUACAAGUCGAAGGAGGAGAGGUUUACUUUCGCUCGGUUUCAGAGGGCUCCGUCCAAGCGUAGUUUCUCUGCUCCAAGACGGGAAGCUGUGAUGGUGGAAAAGCUGCCCAGCCCAGGGCCACCAGAAGGAGGAGGGAUGGAGGGGAGUGAGGGGAGCCUCGUCAAGGGGUCCUCCUCGGUCCGUGGCAGGAAUGAGUGGUUUCAAAGUUGACGAGGUUCUCGGGGAAAUGUUCUACUGUUUAACUUGAGAGGAAAAGGGGAGAGAGAGGGGAAGGCAGGGAGGAGGACGGGGGUUGGGGAGAGAGGGGAGGAGGAGGGUAGAGAACGAUGAGAACCCUCCGAGGUCGGCCCCAGGGGUUGCCCUGCAAUCCCGCCUCUUAAGAGUACUCUGCUGCCGGACUCACAGGAAUGAACGCCCACAGCGCAGUCACCCUCCAGACACACGAGCUCAUUCAGGCCCAGGCUGUAACAGUUGACCCUCGUCACGGCCCCAGCUCCUAUUCUGUCAUUUCUGGAUAACGAUUCCUCAGUCUGAGGGUUGUGCUUUGAGGUGCCCUCCUUCCACAGUUAGUUCUGCUUGCCCCGGGCAGUAGGUGCAAAUGUGUGUGUUCAGGGGCAGGUAGAUCACUUAGAGUGAGCAGGAAGGUAAAUCAAAGAGCACGAUGAAGACCUAAACUGAGGUGGUGCUGUUGCUGCGCAGAACAAUAGAUUCCAGAAAUACCAAGUGUACCAGCGGGGUGUGGAGAACGGAGGAUGAAAGAUGCGUCUUGUUCACUGACUGAGUGUCUGGGUAGACGGUAGUGCUGUCAGCUGAAGAAAAGCUCAUGGGAGGAGGGACAAGGGGACUUAGUGGAGAGUUUACAGAAUUAUACAGUGGUGCUGUGCAUGUGCAGUGGGCGAGUGACAGGUGGAUGGCUAGGCGGUGAACUGGACUGUCCAGGUCUGGCAGUCUGUACGUGAGGGCAGUGGUUACAGGAACCAUAGAAGGACCUAACCACACUCACAGGAGGGGCAGUGGUCAAGACAAACCCUGGAGGCAAACAAGAUCUCCUUGAUGGAUCUGGCGGUCCGGGAGAGGGAUGUUCCUGGGAGUGCAGUGGUCAAGGAGGCUUCUGAAACUCUGAGCUAACAAAAUCUUCAGAAGGUGCAGAAAGAUAUCAAUUAAAUUGCCUCCCAGGAAUCAUUAAUUUGGAUCCCUUUGAAGAAAGCAGGAACAUAGGAGUGGUGGAGGCCAUAGCACUGGAGAAGUAAGUAAAACUCAGAGUCUCAGACCAUGCAGUGAGCUGGGAAGCCCCCUUCUCUUUGAGUCCUAAUACUACUCUGAGAGACGGGAAGCCAGUUGAGGGAUACUCUGUGAUGCUUUCAGCUCUCACAGUCCAUAAUGACACACACCAUUUGAGUACCUACUAAGUGGAAGGCACAUCAUUUUCAUGAGUUUUCUGCAAAGUACUGGCACCCCAUUUUCCCGAGGCCAAGAAAGUUUAAGUAUCAUGCCAAGGUUCACAUAGCCAAUGAAUUUCUGAGCUGAGAAUUAAAAACUAAGUUUGACAACAAAACCCACAUUCAUUUUCUUAUGCUGUGCUGUACAGUGGUGUUAAGAAGAGACAAGGCAUGAGACAGAAUGUGAAUUGAAUUUUGGUAGUACAUCAUUUAUAAGAGCCAUCUUUGCUAUGUUUUCAUAGGCAGUCUCCUUUAAUAAAAACCAGAAUGUUCCUUUUGAGGAACAUAAACAAAAUUUAGUGUGAGGCCUUUGAACUACUCUACUAUUAGGUGUAUAAAAAAGACCAAGUUGAUCAGCAAGUGACAAGGAAAGAGGGAAUUUUACAUA
This is a long non-coding RNA of Fukomys damarensis (Damara mole-rat), 3188 nucleotides long. RefSeq lists it as uncharacterized. The transcript has 2 exons. NCBI's taxonomy places the organism in Eukaryota, Metazoa, Chordata, Mammalia, Rodentia, Bathyergidae. The record is from RefSeq and is a predicted model, not a curated record.